Molecule: unclassified non-coding RNA, 377 nt
Filed under: uncultured Pseudomonadota bacterium
Lineage: Bacteria; Pseudomonadati; Pseudomonadota
Description: uncultured proteobacterium contains 16S-23S intergenic spacer region
Source: RNAcentral
GCGCGGCUUAUCACCGGCAGUCUCCUUAGAGUGCCCAACUUAAUGUGGCAACUAAUGGCAAGGGUCGCGCUCGUUGCGGGACUUAACCCAACAUCUCACGACACGAGCUGACGACAGCCAUGCAGCACCUGUGUUACGGUUCCCUUUCGGGCACACCUCCAUUUCUGGAGGCUUCCGUACAUGUCAAAGGUGGGUAAGGUUUUUCGCGUUGCAUCGAAUUAAACCACAUCAUCCACCGCUUGUGCGGGUCCCCGUCAAUUCCUUUGAGUUUUAACCUUGCGGCCGUACUCCCCAGGCGGGAUGCUUAAUGCGUUAGCUGCGCCACCAACAAGCAUGCUUGCUGACGGCUAGCAUCCAUCGUUUAAGGCGUGGACUAC